GCCGCCCGCCCGGUCCGGCUGAGGGGUGAAGGGUGGGCAUGCCGGCGGGCAGGGCUGAGGGGAGCCGGGGCGCCCCGCGGCAGCCCCGCGCUCCGCCGCGCCGUGCGCCCUUCGCUCCCCCGGGGCACGGGAGCGGGGGCGGCGGGACCCGCCGCUGUCGCCGUGCCGCGACCCUGUCGGCGCAGCAUCGCGGCGUGGCUCGGGGCUGUUUGCCCGCGGCUCCGCGGUCCCUCGGGCGGGAGGCGGCGGCGCAGCCCGGCGCACCGCGCUCCCGGCGCCGCGGGGCUGCCCGCGGCUCCGCACACCCCGCACCGGCGAUAUCUCUCCGGUGGCACUCGAGCCCCGGCCAAGUUGCGGGCGCUGCGGUGGCUGCGGGUUUGCCGGAGUUUCCGAACUCCGGGGCCAGCUGGGGCGCCGUCCCGUUAGCUGGCGGUGCUGCUCCGCCCGCCGUGCCCGGAGCGCGGCUGAGCUGGCGGAGGUGCGCGCUGCCCCGGUACCGCCGGCUGCCGCGGCCGUGCCCGCUCCCGGAGCAGCCUUUCGGCCGCCGCUCGGGGACGGGCAGCGCGGCCGGUCCCGCUGGGCAUCCGCAGCUCUGAGCAGAGCAUAACGCGUCUGGAAACCGCUUUACUCGUGUUUCAUUAAUCUGAGGAUUGCGGAGGCAUUAGGCACGGGCUCUGUGUGCUUAGCGGAGGGAAGCGUGCUGUGAUGGGUACAAACUUUGGGGACGGGCAUCGCUGUUCUGGAGACUCUGGGAUGAAGCAUUCCUCUGUCAGUCCUUAUUGCUCUCUCGUUUCGGCGUUAGCGUUAGGCUAAUUGUCCUUGGGAGAGCAGAAAUUCUCCCAAAGUGUUGUUAUUUUCCUGCUAAAGUAUCUGUGAGUUGAUACAGAGCACCGCGCAGAGCCAUUAAUGUCAAGCAUAUAAAUAAUUGUGUCUUAAUACACAGCUUAUGUUAAUACGUCUUUCGUGACUAUUUUUUGAACGACUGGAUUAUUGACCCUCUGCACAGAAAUGCCAGACCUAACAUGAACCGUAGAAGAGCAAAUAGUUUUGUUUUAAUAAAUAAGGGCUUGAGGUUGAAAGCAUUUUUACAAUUCUAUUGCUAGUGAAAAGACAGUAAUUUUUGCAGUCCCAGGAAUAAUUAUGCGCAGUUGUGAAUGGAGCAAAUUGACUUGGCAUGGAGGGUAGAUGAACCUCCUGCGAUCUCUAGAUUAUGAUCAUUAUUGUUAUUGUAGGCCAGUGGGAGCAAAACUGUGUCUCUCCUUUUUAUCCUUUGAUUUCUUUCUUUUCUUGGGGGCCGGAGGGGGUGGGGAGUUGAGAAAUUGAAGAUUGUGCUUUGAUGCAUUUUCAGUACUAGGGCUCCAAAGUAAUUUUCUUACUGAACUGUGUGGUAAAAGGCAUUUGUGUUUGGAGAUGGAAAUUUGCAACUGAGAGUGAGAAAGAGGGGCUGGAGCUGUGCUUCAUAGCUAAGCCACAGCAUUAGAUACAGGUUAGCAUUUUAUAGCUACCUUGUAGAAACGUGCUUGCUUAUUUCUUAAAAACAAAACUGAACUGUAACUGUAACUAGCUCACAUAUCUGACUUUGCUUAGCGUCUUUUUUUCAAAGCGAAAUGUACUCGGCUUGUUCACACACCAUUACUUUAACUUUGUCCUGUCUUUUUGGGUAACCUGCUUUGGCUGGGUGAUGGACCUAAUGAACUAAUAGGUCUUUCAUGGUUGUAGCUCCUUUGAUCCCAGAAGUUGUAAAGAUUUUUAUGAACUAUGACCUGGAGAGACUGCUACAUACCAAAAACAUUCUCUGCUUAACUUCAUCUAUCCUCUGCUUAAUCUGACCAUUUGCCAAACUGCUGAAGUCUGUUUAGAAGAGCUGUGGGAGAAUGUGCACACAUGUGACUAUUUGGGAAUUAGUCAGUGUUUUAUGGGCUGUUAGCUCACGCUGAUUAGGAGGACUGCAGCUUGAGCCAUCUGCGGCAUUGCCAGCUUCCCACUCUUGUUCAGGUGAGCUGGGUACGGAUGGCACUCAGCUGGUAGUGUUUAGUGAAAUUUGAUCUCUCCAGCCAUCCUUUUGAAGAGGGCGGAAAGAAUUCAACAACUGGGUCUCUUUAAGCAUCCUUUGAAGAAGAAUUGCAAGAAUUGAAGUCCCAGCUCUUAGAACUAGAAGUGCAACUCUUUCUCACAUGGCAUCACUGAAGGGGCCAGCUGUUACUGCUGUGGGAGGUCAAGAGCUCCUUCCAAUUGUAUCUUCUGUGUCAUCUGCAAAACCCCCAGUUACAGUCCCCAGUGUGCUGGUUGCAGAGAGGCCACCUUGUCAACUGGGAUCACAUCAAGUGCUCUGAACUCCUGUUCCUCCAGCAGAUGACAGGAUGCUAUGGAUGGCCUAUUAGCGACACUAUGAGGAAACCAUCUGCCAAGCUAAGGUAGAGCUUAGAUACAAGAAUCAAGAAUCAAGAGCAAGCUUCAAGAUGAGAUGAUAUUCAAGUUAUGGGCUGAUGCAUUAGGAAGAUUGUUAUUGUUCAGAAGUCAUAAGAAAAUAAGAUAAUGGGCAGGAGAGUCUUUGGAAGAAAAUGAAGAUGUCUGCUUUAGUAAUGAUGAGUUUGUGGUAAUUGCUAAGCACACACAUAAAAAUAUGAGAAAAGAAGCUGAGAUUUCCAUGUGAACAGACGGUGUGGUGUUUUGGAAGUCAUCAAGCAAGCUGAAAUUGUGUUUGCAAAUGAGAAAAAAUGUGGAAGGGAAAGGGAAGAAACAGAAAGGACAGAGGCUAGUGAAACUACAAGAGGAAACUGAGGUGUGAAGAACAGAGAGAGUCCAGCAGAGGACACACUGAGGUAGCACUCAGGGAACCAGGAGGAGGAUGCAGAGAAUGCCAUCUCUGAAGAUGUGGAGCGAAACAGCAAAACAGCAGGAGCAUGAGCAAAACCACUGAAGUGCCUGACUGAGAGGCUGUGGAGUUACUGUUAAAAGUAUUUCCCAUUGGACUGUAAGAACAUAAAGCAGAAUGUUUAUAGACUGGCUUCUUUGGAAAGGAAUUCUAAAUGAUUAUUGUUGUCAUCUCAGAGUGGCUGAUGUGUUUUGGCAUGGGUUUUUCAAGAUGGGAGGGACCAAAGCAGAUUUGAAGUUUAUUUGUAUUGUGAAGAGAAGGCUGCAAGGGAGAUCUGAAAUCAAGAAGAUCACCUUCAUAAACAGAGUUGGUUACAGUGGUAGAACAGUUGGUUAAACCUUUUUUGUGCAAUCAUCAAUGAAUGAUCCCUUGAACAAGAACAUUAAUGACCUGAACUGUGACUGAGACAGUCACAUUGGACCAGUCAUGUAACUCUGUGGUCUAUGAUGGACAUUUAACUAGAAUUUGUCCCUUUAAGUUUGACUGCUUUUUGUGAUCUGAGUCAAUGUAUGUCCAACUCUGGGUGCAUUUGAAAGUUGUUUAUUCUGCCAUUUGGAAGGCAUGAUGACAAGUGCAUGAAACCCUGAGGGCUAAAGCAGGGUGAGAGCAGUGUCUUCUUGAUGUCAUGCAUCAAAUAUUGCAUUGGACAGACUGAGCUGCUGCAAAUGCCUCAUGAAGCUCUUAACCAUCCAGGAAUUAUUCCAUGCUCUUCUGGUAUGAUGCAUGUGUUCGUGCCUCAGCUGAGAAUGCUUGUCCUGUGCCCCAGGAGACACAGAGCCCUAGUUUUC
Passer domesticus (house sparrow) is the source of this 3663-nucleotide RNA transcript. It is a transcript of the gene named tetraspanin 4, with no coding region annotated. The record is from RefSeq and is a predicted model, not a curated record. Lineage: Eukaryota; Metazoa; Chordata; Aves; Passeriformes; Passeridae. The transcript is spliced from 4 exons.